RNAcentral lists this non-coding RNA (67 nucleotides) under Actinoplanes sp. RNAcentral also lists the same sequence under 1 other name. Lineage: Bacteria; Bacillati; Actinomycetota; Actinomycetes; Micromonosporales; Micromonosporaceae. The record is from RNAcentral.
GCUGAUGCCGCAUCGCGGACAUCCCGGACGAGCGCCGUCGUACCCGGCCCGACAAGACGACUGCACC